ACAGUCCACGGGGUCGCAAAGAGUCGGACACGACUGAGUGGCUUCACUUUCAUUUUUCUUUUACUUUCCAGGUUACAAGCUAUAAAGACAAGGUAGUGGUUGAACCUGGAAUCAUUUAGGGAGCAAAGGAAUGACUCGGAAGACUUACUUCCCCGAGGGAGAGAGGGCUCCCUUGCUUUUGCCAAGCAGGCACGUGUGAGACUUGGAGUAAGAUACUGCCUGGCAGUGAGCAGCAAAAAUGCACGCAGACUUCCCCGAUGGUUUGGAGGCAAAGACUCCACACUCCCAAUGCAGGGGGCCAGGGGUUGACCCCUGGACAAGGAACUAGAUCCCAGAUGCUGCAACCAAGCCCCAAACAAAUAAAUGCUGAAAAAAAUACAUGCAACUCGUGGACAGACUGGUUCCAGGUAUCAACUAAAAAAAGUGUACAAGGAGGUGUGUAUCUGUUGUGAAUUCUUCUCUGGUGUUUGAUAAGAUACGACAUGUCAAGGAAGACUUUUCCACAUUCAGAAUACGCAUGAGGUUUUUAUCCA
Molecule: long non-coding RNA, 533 nt
Filed under: Capra hircus (goat)
Lineage: Eukaryota; Metazoa; Chordata; Mammalia; Artiodactyla; Bovidae
Description: lncRNA (ENSCHIG00010011214.1)
Source: RNAcentral